RNAcentral lists this long non-coding RNA (265 nucleotides) under Ananas comosus (pineapple). RNAcentral's name for it is "long non-coding RNA (ACOM_LNC000450)". The record is from RNAcentral. Lineage: Eukaryota; Viridiplantae; Streptophyta; Magnoliopsida; Poales; Bromeliaceae.
UAUUGUAAUUUCUAACUUGCACUUUUAGUAUUAUUCCAAUCAAAUCCUACAAUCCAAUUCAAUUUGCUAAAUUUGAGAAAUUAUUAAUAUAGAAAUAAUAUAACAUUUUAAUUAUUGCUGUAUUAUCAAUUGUAAUGUUGUUUUCGUCACUUUUUGCAUCAAUAAUUUAUCAAUAUUUAUCUAACUAAAUUAAAUCGUGAGACUUGAUUAUAAUAAUUAUAAAAAUUCAAACUACAAAUUUUUAUAAAUUAAAAUUUGGCCAAUU